Molecule: unclassified non-coding RNA, 217 nt
Filed under: Hevea brasiliensis (rubber tree)
Lineage: Eukaryota; Viridiplantae; Streptophyta; Magnoliopsida; Malpighiales; Euphorbiaceae
Source: RNAcentral
AAUGGUUCUACCUUUUGAACCCCUAUCUCUUGUGUUUCGAGACGUUCAGUACUCUGUUGACACUCCUGCGGCAAUGAAGGAGCUCGGUUUCACACAAAAUAAACUCCAACUUCUUUCAGACAUUACUGGCGCAUUUAGACCUGGUGUCCUUGCAGCCCUUAUGGGUGUCAGUGGGGCUGGAAAAACAACCCUGCUUGAUGUUCUUGCAGGUAGAAAA